Molecule: ribosomal RNA, 501 nt
Filed under: Acinetobacter lwoffii
Lineage: Bacteria; Pseudomonadati; Pseudomonadota; Gammaproteobacteria; Moraxellales; Moraxellaceae
Description: bacterial SSU rRNA
Rfam family: Bacterial small subunit ribosomal RNA
Source: RNAcentral
AUUGAACGCUGGCGGCAGGCUUAACACAUGCAAGUCGACGCGGGGAAAKGUAGCUUGCUACMUWACCUAGCGGCGGACGGGUGAGUAAUGCUUAGGAAUCUGCCUAUUAGUGGGGGACAACAUCUCGAAAGGGAUGCUAAUACCGCAUACGUCCUACGGGAGAAAGCAGGGGACCUUCGGGCCUUGCGCUAAUAGAUGAGCCUAAGUCGGAUUAGCUAGUUGGUGGGGUAAAGGCCUACCAAGGCAUCGAUCUGUAGCGGGUCUGAGAGGAUGAUACGCCACACUGGGAGUGAGACACGGCCCAGACUCCUACGGGAGGCAGCAGUGGGGAAUAUUGGACAAUGGGGGGAACCCUGAUCCAGCCAUGCCGCGUGUGUGAAGAAGGUUCUUUGGUUGUAAAGCACUUUAAGCGAGGAGGAGGCUACCGAGAUUAAUACUCUUGGAUAGUGGACGUUACUCGCAGAAUAAGCACCGGCUAACUCUGUGCCAGCAGCCGCGGUA